RNAcentral lists this ribosomal RNA (658 nucleotides) under Harpacticoida environmental sample. RNAcentral's name for it is "LSU rRNA". It matches the Rfam family "Eukaryotic large subunit ribosomal RNA", at positions 646 to 1283 of the family's 3401-position model. Lineage: Eukaryota; Metazoa; Arthropoda; Copepoda; Harpacticoida. The record is from RNAcentral.
GACCCGUCUUGAAACACGGACCAAGGAGUCUAACAUGUGUGCGAGUCAUUGGGUGCACUAAACCCAAAGGCGCAGUGAAAGCAAAGGCCGCCUUCGCGGCUGAGGGACGAUCCUGUCACAAGGCGCAGUCCCGGCGCUUCGCGUCGACCUCGUUUCGUGCGGAGCAGCAAGAGCAUACACGUUGGGACCCGAAAGAUGGUGAACUAUGCCUGGCCAGGUUGAAGUCAGGGGAAACCCUGAUGGAGGACCGUAGCGAUUCUGACGUGCAAAUCGAUCGUCGGAGCUGGGUAUAGGGGCGAAAGACUAAUCGAACCAUCUAGUAGCUGGUUCCUUCCGAAGUUUCCCUCAGGAUAGCUGGUGCUCGUUAUCGAGUUUCAUCCGGUAAAGCGAAUGAUUAGAAGCCUUGGGGGCGAAACGCCCUCAACUUAUUCUCAAACUUUAAAUGGGUGAGAUGCGUGACUUGCUUGAGUGAAGUCGCGCUGUUACGAAUCGGAGUGCCAAGUGGGCCAUUUUUGGUAAGCAGAACUGGCGCUGUGGGAUGAACCAAACGUCGAGUUAAAGUGCCAAAGUGGGCGCUCAUCAGAUCCCAUGAAAGGUGUUGGUUGCUUAAGACAGCAGGACGGUGGCCAUGGAAGUCGGAAUCCGCUAAGGAGUGUGU